UCAUUUCCUUUAUUAAAUUAAAUGCCUUUUAGAAAUAGGCCAAAGGACCAGAAACUAUAGUAUUAUAUUCCAUUAGUAUUCUCUGGACUUAAAACUUUUAUUUUCUCACCCGUAAGAAAGGGGAAAUGUCCAUUGGCUUCAAAUGUCAACAGAAACAAAAAGUCCCCAGAAAGGGACUGGAUGUAAUUCUGCUAUCUGCAGUAUCACCACAAGCCACCACCAAUUACACCUCCCUCCACCCUCUUCCUCUCCCUUGUGGUCCGUUUCUCUUUUCUGCUUCUUGUUGUGUUUGUCCCCCCUCAAACAGGAACAAGCUGAGACGUGUUCCUGUGGCGGAUCACAUUGUUCUCUUUGGAUUUAAUCAUCUAAAAUCAACUGGAGCCGGAGAGAACCCGGUGUACGAGGUCGUUUGAGCAGCAAUCAAGAAAAUAGAUCACUGUUUCAGUGGCUAUUUCUUUUUAAGUUUCCCCCUUCGGAGUCACUUGUUUCUCCAGCUGAAUCACUGCCUUGGCGAGAUAUAGUGAGACCCGUGACUGAGAGUGAAUGGAGCUGCUUUCAGUGAGGGCCAUUGUCGAGGUCAGUGUGACAACAAGAGAUGAGCACUGUGGAGCAACGGACGACGUGAGCGUCCAGCACUGCAUGCACACUCGCAUUCUCAAUUCUCAAAGUGCUUGGAUAUGGAGCUCUAAAUAACAUCACAUCCCCCUCCCCCUGUAAAUAGCAGAGCACGUGUCUUUAACAUGAACAAAAGAAGUGCUGUUUGGGGUGUUAAUCAAAUUUUUUUUUCAAUGGGGUUAACAGAGUUUAGUCAAUAGAAAGACAAUGGUUAAGUUUCUCUAGACGCAUUCCAUGAAAUUAGAUGCUGGGGUACGUGAGGAAUUACAAGAUAACAAGACAAUUGAUAGAUCAACCCAGGAACAACUGAGUCACAUGUCAUACUACGACACACUAUCACAACACAAAGACCAUGCAGUGAUAGUGUGUAUUUGCGCUCCGCAUGCGCGAUGCCAGGAGUGGAAAACCGGUUUCCACACGUGAACAAGUCUUUUUUAUAUUUGCAUAUAUGAGGCUCCUAUGGAAAACCUGCACUGGUGUUGAAUUACCAACCCAAGAUAAGUACUUUGCGUGAGAAAGAAAUUAGUUUCAGGGCUGUGGCGAAUUGUUUUCCGUUUUAGUUCCAUACAUAUCCUACUCAGACAUCCCGGAAUAAGACAAACGUGCUUCUGCUGCAGCCCUUCACUUCAGUCUGUCUUGUUUUGUUUGUUUGUUUUCCUUCUUCUUAUAGACAAAGACACGCAGGGAUCAUUUCCCUCUUUAUUGUCAAAGUAGCAAAAUGGCAUUCUCUUUUAUUCGUCUCACUGUGUCACAGUACUUGCUCUGCAGAACAGUACUGCUUAAAGCUUAUAUGUGGAUAAAAACUUUACACAAACUAUUUAAAAAAAAACACACACA
Molecule: long non-coding RNA, 1452 nt
Organism: Mugil cephalus (flathead mullet)
Lineage: Eukaryota; Metazoa; Chordata; Actinopteri; Mugiliformes; Mugilidae
Exons: 2
Source: RefSeq, a predicted model, not a curated record